Molecule: ribosomal RNA, 253 nt
Filed under: uncultured bacterium
Lineage: Bacteria
Description: partial 16S ribosomal RNA
Rfam family: Bacterial small subunit ribosomal RNA
Source: RNAcentral
UACGUAGGCUGCGAGCGUUGUUCGGAAUUACUGGGCGUAAAGAGUGUGUAGGCGGUGCUCCAAGUCUGUUGUGAAAUCUCCCGGCUUAACUGGGAGGGUGCGGCGGAAACUAGAGUGCUAGAGGGUGGGAGAGGUAAGCGGAAUUCCUGGUGUAGCGGUGAAAUGCGUAGAUAUCAGGAGGAACACCUGUGGUGUAGACAGCUUACUGGACCACUUCUGACGCUGAGACACGAAAGCGUGGGUAGCAAACAGG